CUUUCUUGCUGUUGAAAGAGUUUACUCUAAAUUACUCGGCCUUGAGUCCGUGGCUCAGUGGUGGUCUUGAGAGACUCCAGUAGCCUAUGAAGAAGAGAAAAGGAGAAAAGAAAAGGAACUAGCAAUGCACUGGAAUUACAUCUUCUCUUCAGUCCCCAGGAAUCCAGGUUGCAACAAGAAAUGAGCAGGUUGGUUUGGUGAGUAAAUCUAUCUAGAGCUGCAUAACGAUUGUUUGGGUUCUGCAAGGUUUGAGACAGUUGAAUAUUCAA
This 269-nucleotide long non-coding RNA is filed under the name Cairina moschata (Muscovy duck). RNAcentral's name for it is "domestica (muscovy Duck (domestic type)) lncRNA (ENSCMMG00000007829.1)". Lineage: Eukaryota; Metazoa; Chordata; Aves; Anseriformes; Anatidae. The record is from RNAcentral.